AGCCGUGAUAACGAUCGCUACCUUACAAGAAAUGUAAUCCGACAACCUAAAGGAUGGAUAGAGAAGAUCCGUUCGAUUAAAUAACUCGUAUAUUGUAUUAAGUCAUUGAAAGAAGCGUAUAGUAUACUAUAGACUACUUGUCCUAUGAUUAUACGAUUUAUUGAGACAUGAUGCCACAGAUGUGCAACUCUACUAAAAUGCCGGCGCAUGUCAUUCGGAUAAUCCGAUUAAUUAGGCGAUAGAUGUGCAUCAGCGCCGUCUGUCGUAUAUACCGAUAAAUUUUGAAAAACCAAUGAUUUAUAUGACCACGUCGACAUUCGGUAGACGCCACACAGAAAACUAUAAAUAACUAGAAAAAAAGAAUUUCCUGAUCUUUAUAUAAUUUGAAAUGAUAGACUUUUUAUAAAGAAUUUCGUUUAUGCAGUUAUAAAUUCAACGAAAAAAAAAUAUCUAAUAGAAAAAAAUAAUUAUAUUGUCUAAAAAAAAGUGUCUUACAAAAAAGUGUCUAGAGUGAAUGUCUCCUUUAUCAAAGAUAUACAUGAACAAACUAUAGCUAUGAUAAAAAAACACAAACAAUAACCUGAGAAAAUUAUCUCAUCGUUAAGUAUUUGUAUGUUCUUCGGAUAUCUCUUGGAACAAGCUUCGAGUUAUUGGUUCUUCACCAUAUCUUCUGGACUACGAUGUCGCCGAUGGUGCAGAAAGAAAGCCAGGUUGAAGCCAAUAGACCAUCUUAAAAUUCAAGAAGCGGCACCUGCCUCUUUUGCUUACACGCCUUUCGAUAUAUCUCUUCAACGAGAUUGAAACAAGGAUAGAAAUGAUAAUUAAAAUGUAUUACCAUGAACACAUGCCAUCAGUGUUCGUUUAAAUCAGCCUCGAGCGAAUAACAACGUAAAUACAAAAAUGGAAAAAAAGAAAUCAAUCAGAUAAAACGUCAGCGCAACAUUAUCUUAAAAAAACACAUCACAGCAAGACUUCCUCUUCGAAAGGAAAAAAAAUACCAAAAUCUGCGGCCAUCAGCAGUGCGGCAUUAUAAAAUGUCUCCAAGAGGUGCAUGCAUUGCGUUUUCUUGCUUCCGCGACACUGGUAUCAGGCCGGCCUACGAUUUCCGUGGCUCGUAAACAUAACGCAAUUAGGCAAAGUGGCCAUUUAAAUCACCUCUGUAGCCGCGACUAAAGUUACCCGUUAUCUGUAUACUUUACGAGGGGAGUGAGUAACAGCGCGUUACUCGCGCGCGAGUAACCGUCGUGUUUCCAACCGUACACGGCCGUACACCACGAUAAACCUUAUCCACACUCGUCCGACUAUCGCCAACUUCUCUUGAGGCAUUCAAAAAAGAGGAGGGGAAAAAGCCACGCGGACCAUUUUCGAGCGUAACUUGCUCAUAAACUAGAAGGGUAAUCGUAGAAACAGAACAUUCCUUCGGGAAUGUUUGUUACAAGAAAGGAGUACGCGAACUCUUCGAAUGUGGAUGUGCUGUUUCGAUAACGAGUUACUUGUUGUUGAGUAACACAUGAGAAAUUUCAAGAACCCUUCUUUGAAGAAUUUUUAGAAUGUGGAUGGAAGAUCUUCAAUUUGCAAGAAUUGAAAAAAAUUUUGAUUCAGAGUUGAUAAUUAUAUAAAAAUGUAUAUAAUGCCUAACUUCGUUAGGAAAGUUAGGAAAAUUAAUACAUUCAUUUUUGAUAAUGAAAAAUAACUAUCGUUUAUGAUUCUAAUAAAUUUAUGCUUCAAAAGGAAUAUAUAUAUAUACUCAAUUAUUCAAGAUAAUAAUUCAUCAUAAUGAAGAAACAAAUAUCAUAAUAUACUAUGAAAAGACAAUAGAAAAGAAUCAAUCUACUUGAUGUGUUUAACGAUAGAUAAUAUCCAUGAGACUGUUGUUCCGUUACCAGUCAUUAAAUUAUACUAUGUUGUAUUAUACUAUGUUAACCAGUCUAUCCAUCUCGUCAUAAUAUAUCUCUACAUUUUAAUUAGGACGUAUCGUAUUAAUCGUCUGACCUUUUCCAAUCGAAUAUGUCGAGAAAGGAUUGAAUUAAUGAUGACGACUGGUCGAGAACCAUCCAUCAAAAGGAACCCUUUUUUUUUCCUUUCGUAAAUUACAUUAAUUUCAAUCAUUGGAAAGCACACUUAUUAACGAUUUCCUCUUCACAGUAUAUAACAUCAGGUACAUCAUUAUAUCUUUAAUUAUUUACCUCGCUUGAUUUCAGGUCUACCAUUGAUCAUUUUUGAGGGCGUGAGAGUUUAAAUAGCGAUCAUAGAGUAUUAAUAUUAACGAAGGACGAACAAUAUUAUUCCUACUUUCUAAUGCAUAUGGUAUUGUCGACGGAAGAGGAUGAAUCGUCCAUUUGCGGAAAUAAACGCCCUCGUGCACGAAACGUAAAACGAAACAGUUCCGGUCAACGUCCCUAAGCUAAUGAUGAUUGUUACAGAAGGAAGGGACGAAGCUUGGAAAACAUAUCCGGACGUAACCAAUGAAUAUCCGCAAUUUUCGUGUAAAGAAAAGAAGAGAGGGAAAAAGAAAGAAAGAAAAAAAAGAAUAUAUUGGUACUCGAGAAGUGAAAGGAAAUAUCCAUAGUCCGGUCACAUCAGGUUGCAUAAUGCGAACCCUCUAUGACUGUUUACUUAGGGCGAAAUGUGGUUUGUUCCUUCCGUGACAGGCUACAUGUUAAACCAUCCCUCUCAUGAGAGAGGAUGAAACCUCUUCGUAAAAUCUUACGAUCCCUCUAUCCUAUCCGAGGUUGUAAAAAUCCUUCAACUACCAUCUCACGCGUCGAUAAUGAGAUAAUAUAAAAAGGAGACAAAGAUUGCUCGUUUAUUGUUCUUUAAAGGAAAGAAAAUAGAUCUAAUCUCAAAGGAAUAUUGGAUAUGUUUCUUUCCUGAGAAAAUACGAAUUUAGACACAAGAACAAGUGACCGGAUGGACAUUGAGAGGGUAAAAGCAGAUACUGUACCACAUGACACCUCGUGUGAAACUUUGCAGUGUCCGACUAUCGAAUGUAGAUACUAUUUUUAUAAUCAGGAACAUCCUUCGAUUUUAAUUCGAGCAUUGUUGCCGAAGAUCAUUUACUAUCUCUGUCUUAAGUGGCCAAAUAUAAAUAGUAUCGAAUAACAUUAUACAGAUGAAAAAACAUCACUACGGAAACCGAGAAUAUGAAAAGAAAAUAAAUAGCCAGUGUUAAAAACCGAUGUAAAAAUCGAAAUUGAAAUUUCAUUGGAUUGAUAGUGGAACAAAAAAAUGAUUAUUGUUAAUUUAGAUUAAAUUUUAAACAGUUUAUAAUAUGUAGAUUAACUCUUUUCAUACAAUUAUUCCAAUUACAAACUCAAAAUUCAUUAAUGUUGGAUCAAUUCAGACUCUUCCACAUACAAUGAUAUACAUAAUCAUGGUCAUAAUGGUCCAGAAAAAGGGAAUACGAUUCCCACAGUCUGGUUGACACAUCCACCGUGUCAUCCUGCACUUAUGUAUACCUGGUUCGCUACGCAGGUGAUCUGCAAUACCAGAAGAUUCAGUUUUCGGCUAUGUUACGAAAUUCCCGAUCAUUUAUACACUCCCACGGUUGGAUUUUCAUCUAUUCAAAUAUCGACGAUGGAAAUUCUUGGCGCAACGAUCAACGUACAUUCCGAAAGGAGUGAGUUCAAGGAUCGAUCCCACGGUUUACGCGUAUGCACACACCGUGGUCCAUCCCUUUCCCCCUCAAAAUUGCAUCCCUCAAUGGACAUUUCACAGUUUCCCAGGUCGAUCCAGGUAACACGAUCGGAAUCGAUAUUUGAAUGGACGUUUACAUAAGAGGCCACGCAUCUCUCUACGUCGUUUACCUGAGAAUGGUAAAGGGUUACGCCAAUCUUUUAUUACCCUUCACCCCCAUGGAAUGGAGAUUGUGAUGGAUAGAUCUUAUGUGAUGUCUGUAGUGACAGUCCUAUUAUUUGGAAUUCAAUAAUGAAUAACUACUCCUGAACAGACGAGUGACUUCACAGAUUAAUCGCGGAUCUCCGUCGAUGUCUUUCGAGAUCCGUUCCCCCUUCAAGAUCGAUGAAAAUCCUAUUACAGGACAACGUUUUGUGUAUCGAGGAGCUUGGUAAUAAUGCGAUCCAUUCGAAAUACCCUUUACGAAAAUGUUAGGAGGAAACGAUCGCCGGUCCGGUGGAGGAAAGAAUUACGUUUUGAAAAUGAUUGGAAACCGGCUGAAAGGCCCCUGUCCAUUCUGAAUGCUAAGCUGCCUAAUUUCAUCCCUCGGUGUCUAGAUAGUAUUUCAUCUUCUGGCAAAUCCCUGGAACAGCUAUGAGAAAUUAAAUGCAUAUAACGAAAAAGUGGAAAAUAUUGAGAAAUAUGUAAAAUUAAAAAUGAAAAAUGAAAAUGAUACAGAACAAAAUAAUUUUGAUAUAUAAGAAAAUACAAAAUUAUGUUGAAGAAUAAAAUGAAACUUGGAUAGUUGAGAUUGGAUAGAAUAAAAUUGGAAAACUGUAAUAAAAUCUUCUCCAUUUUCUAAUAAUUGUAUCACAAAUAUUUCGUUCGAAAAUAUAUUUUUAUUAUAUUACAUACGAAUUGUAUUUUUAAAUUUGCACAAGAUUUUUCCGUAAACAGAAUAUCUUGAAUAAAUCUUGAGGACAUACUUACAAGCAUUCCUACGUGAA
Molecule: long non-coding RNA, 4622 nt
Organism: Apis cerana (Asiatic honeybee)
Lineage: Eukaryota; Metazoa; Arthropoda; Insecta; Hymenoptera; Apidae
Source: RefSeq, a predicted model, not a curated record